Long non-coding RNA from Cyprinus carpio (common carp), 434 nucleotides. RefSeq lists it as uncharacterized. NCBI's taxonomy places the organism in Eukaryota, Metazoa, Chordata, Actinopteri, Cypriniformes, Cyprinidae. The transcript has 3 exons. The record is from RefSeq and is a predicted model, not a curated record.
AUGCUGAUAUUUUGGAUGUGUUCAGGGUUUGUACUGAGUGACAGUAUGCUGAAUCUCAUGGCUCUACGAUACGGUGACUCUAAUGGUGAAAUUACACUGGAAAACUUUAUUGUGCUCGUCCUGCGCAUGGAUUGCAUGGCCAAGACAUUCAAGAGACUCGCUGCUGGAGGGCCGGAUAUGAUGCUUGGAGAAAAUGAAUGGAUGCAUCUAACCAUGUACUCGUGAUCCAGAUGAGACUGAGAGAAUGCAUCCUGCACAGACUUCUGAGACCUCACUGAUUACAUACAGCAAUAAAAUAUACAAAUCUAAGACUUAAAUGCAACUUUACCUUCAUACUUGAUAUUAGACAUAAUGCAGGCUUGUUAGCUACAAUUUAUUUCAUUGUGCAUAAGGAAAUUGAUUGGAUUUGAUAUAAUUAAUUAUGUGGUGAGAGA